CCCUCUGUAGCUCAGUGGAUAGAGCAGCGGUCUUCUAAGCCGCUGGUCGCAGGUUUGAACCCCGUCAGAGGGA
RNAcentral lists this transfer RNA (73 nucleotides) under Microbacterium sp. cf332. RNAcentral describes it as "tRNA_Arg_TCT". It matches the Rfam family "tRNA". From Rfam's summary of the family: Transfer RNA (tRNA) molecules are approximately 80 nucleotides in length. Their secondary structure includes four short double-helical elements and three loops (D, anti-codon, and T loops). The record is from RNAcentral. Lineage: Bacteria; Bacillati; Actinomycetota; Actinomycetes; Micrococcales; Microbacteriaceae.